Regulatory RNA element from Microbacterium sp. C448, 109 nucleotides. It matches the Rfam family "TPP riboswitch aptamer (THI element)". From Rfam's summary of the family: Vitamin B(1) in its active form thiamin pyrophosphate (TPP) is an essential coenzyme that is synthesised by coupling of pyrimidine and thiazole moieties in bacteria. The previously detected thiamin-regulatory element, thi box was extended, resulting in a new, highly conserved RNA secondary structure, the THI element, which is widely distributed in eubacteria and also occurs in some archaea. Analysis of operon structures identified a large number of new candidate thiamin-regulated genes, mostly transporters, in various prokaryotic organisms. The record is from Rfam. NCBI's taxonomy places the organism in Bacteria, Bacillati, Actinomycetota, Actinomycetes, Micrococcales, Microbacteriaceae.
CCCGUCAACCACGGGAGUCCGGUGUGCCGGGCUGAGAGGAAGCGACCACGCUUCGACCGUCGAACCUGAUCUGGGUCAUGCCAGCGCAGGAAGGAGCACUAAUGAGUAC